RNAcentral lists this small RNA (29 nucleotides) under Bombyx mori (domestic silkworm). RNAcentral describes it as "ovarian small RNA-28680". The record is from RNAcentral. Lineage: Eukaryota; Metazoa; Arthropoda; Insecta; Lepidoptera; Bombycidae.
UCGCCGAAAGACGAAUCCCCUGAGUAGGA